GCAUGGUUCGAAAUUGAAAGGCGGCUUCGGCUGUCACUUAUGGAUGGACCCGCGUCGCAUUAGCUAGUUGGUGAGGUAACGGCUCACCAAGGCAACGAUGCGUAGCCGACCUGAGAGGGUGAUCGGCCACACUGGGACUGAGACACGGCCCAGACUCCUACGGGAGGCAGCAGUAGGGAAUCUUCCGCAAUGGACGAAAGUCUGACGGAGCAACGCCGCGUGAGUGAUGAAGGCUUUCGGGUCGUAAAACUCUGUUGUUAGGGAAGAACAAGUGCUAGUUGAAUAAGCUGGCACCUUGACGGUACCUAACCAGAAAGCCACGGCUAACUACGUGCCAGCAGCCGCGGUAAUACGUAGGUGGCAAGCGUUAUCCGGAAUUAUUGGGCGUAAAGCGCGCGCAGGUGGUUUCUUAAGUCUGAUGUGAAAGCCCACGGCUCAACCGU
RNAcentral lists this ribosomal RNA (443 nucleotides) under Bacillus thuringiensis. RNAcentral's name for it is "bacterial SSU rRNA". It matches the Rfam family "Bacterial small subunit ribosomal RNA", at positions 188 to 616 of the family's 1533-position model. Lineage: Bacteria; Bacillati; Bacillota; Bacilli; Caryophanales; Bacillaceae. The record is from RNAcentral.